GGGGGUAUAGCUCAGCUGGGAGAGCGCUUGCAUGGCAUGCAAGAGGUCAGCAGUUCGAUCCUGCUUACCUCCA
Molecule: transfer RNA, 73 nt
Filed under: Paracidovorax anthurii
Lineage: Bacteria; Pseudomonadati; Pseudomonadota; Betaproteobacteria; Burkholderiales; Comamonadaceae
Also listed under: 9 other names
Description: Acidovorax anthurii tRNA
Rfam family: tRNA
About the family: Transfer RNA (tRNA) molecules are approximately 80 nucleotides in length. Their secondary structure includes four short double-helical elements and three loops (D, anti-codon, and T loops).
Source: Rfam by way of RNAcentral